GACGAACGCUGGCGGCGUGCUUAACACAUGCAAGUCGAACGGAAAGGCCCUGCUUUUGUGGGGUGCUCGAGUGGCGAACGGGUGAGUAACACGUGAGUAACCUGCCCUUGACUUUGGGAUAACUUCAGGAAACUGGGGCUAAUACCGGAUAGGAGCUCCUGCUGCAUGGUGGGGGUUGGAAAGUUUCGGCGGUAGGGGAUGGACUCGCGGCUUAUCCGCUUGUUGGUGGGGUAGUGGCUUACCAAGGCUUUGACGGGUAGCCGGCCUGAGAGGGUGACCGGCCACAUUGGGACUGAGAUACGGCCCAGAAUGCUACGGGAGGCAGCAGUGGGGAAUAUGGCACAAUGGGCGGAAGCCUGAUACAGCAACGCCGCGUGCGGGAUGACGGCCUUCGGGUUGUAAACCGCUUUCGCCUGUGACGAAGCGUGAGUGACGGUAAUGGGUAAAGAAGCACCGGCUAACUACGUG
Molecule: ribosomal RNA, 468 nt
Filed under: uncultured bacterium
Lineage: Bacteria
Description: partial 16S ribosomal RNA
Rfam family: Bacterial small subunit ribosomal RNA
Source: RNAcentral